GGCCUAAUGGCCCAAUGGCAAGGCGCUUGACUACGACUUUGCAGUAAUCAAGAGAUUCCAGGUUCGACCCCUGGUUAGGUCA
RNAcentral lists this transfer RNA (82 nucleotides) under Ophiobolus disseminans. It matches the Rfam family "tRNA". From Rfam's summary of the family: Transfer RNA (tRNA) molecules are approximately 80 nucleotides in length. Their secondary structure includes four short double-helical elements and three loops (D, anti-codon, and T loops). The record is from Rfam by way of RNAcentral. Lineage: Eukaryota; Fungi; Ascomycota; Dothideomycetes; Pleosporales; Phaeosphaeriaceae.